GAUUGUCCAGAAGUUUCCACAACAACUAUCAUUACUAUUCAGUUUAAAUAAUACGUCCCAUACCGUAUCCCAAAUAAUAAAACAAGUUAUUACAGAUAAGUAUCUAGUCAAGUAUACUGUUCCGACAACUCAGAUUUAAAUAAAAAUAUAAAUAUUGUUCAAUUGCUUCUAGAGACUCGAUCUGCAAGAUCUACAGACAACUAUGCUCUAGACGCUUAUUCCUAGCUCGCCUUCCUAGCAGAUAAGCAUCCUAAUUGCCUGUCACAUACGUUAAAAUAAAGUCAAUACAUGAAAUGUAAAGGUGAGCAUACAAGUUUGAUAUAGCAUAUAGAGUUCGAAAUAGUUUACGCAUAACCAGCAUGUGCAUAGAGGAAAACGAAGCAUGUUAAUUAUCGACAUGGAUCUAUCGAUACCAAUGACUGCGGGUUGACUGUCCGAGACAGUUCGCAAUACAUGAUUACCACCGUAAUCCAUGCAGUAAUUGUCCUUAACAACCUCCGUGUGAACGGGUGCUGAGUCCAAACUAUAGUACUACGUCGUUAAGGCAGGUAGACAGCAUUCCACGUGUAAACAUAACAACAAGCAUUCAUUUAGUCACGUAAUACAUGCAGAACGGUUAGCGUUUAAAUAGUUGAGUAGUGUGUUCGAUUGUGAUUUAGAUAAGUAACGUAUGUAACACCUAAAAGUGCUAAAGCAAAAAGGGUUCGAGUAUACUCACAGCGAUUGAUUGAUGGAUUGAAGGGAGCGCUUGAGAGUAGG
RNAcentral lists this long non-coding RNA (759 nucleotides) under Helianthus annuus (common sunflower). The record is from RNAcentral. Lineage: Eukaryota; Viridiplantae; Streptophyta; Magnoliopsida; Asterales; Asteraceae.